GGUGGCUCAGUGGUAGAGCGCAUGCUUUGCAUGCCUGAGGCCCUGGGUUCCAUUCCUCAGCACCA
This 65-nucleotide transfer RNA is filed under the name Dipodomys ordii (Ord's kangaroo rat). It matches the Rfam family "tRNA". From Rfam's summary of the family: Transfer RNA (tRNA) molecules are approximately 80 nucleotides in length. Their secondary structure includes four short double-helical elements and three loops (D, anti-codon, and T loops). Further hydrogen bonds mediate the characteristic L-shaped molecular structure. tRNAs have two regions of fundamental functional importance: the anti-codon, which is responsible for specific mRNA codon recognition, and the 3' end, to which the tRNAs corresponding amino acid is attached (by aminoacyl-tRNA synthetases). tRNAs cope with the degeneracy of the genetic code in two manners: having more than one tRNA (with a specific anti-codon) for a particular amino acid; and 'wobble' base-pairing, i.e. permitting non-standard base-pairing at the 3rd anti-codon position. The record is from Rfam by way of RNAcentral. Lineage: Eukaryota; Metazoa; Chordata; Mammalia; Rodentia; Heteromyidae.